AGCUUUGCGCAGUGGCAGUAUUGUAGUCAAUGAGGUUUAUCCAAGGCAUGAUUAUUGCUAAUUGAAAAAGGGAGCUUGUGGGAGGGUUCCUUCCUGCCUUGGCCAAUGUC
Molecule: small nuclear RNA, 110 nt
Filed under: Jaculus jaculus (lesser Egyptian jerboa)
Lineage: Eukaryota; Metazoa; Chordata; Mammalia; Rodentia; Dipodidae
Description: U4 spliceosomal RNA (ENSJJAG00000006922.1)
Rfam family: U4 spliceosomal RNA (bases 1-69)
About the family: U4 small nuclear RNA (U4 snRNA) is a component of the major U2-dependent spliceosome.
Source: RNAcentral